GAUGAACGCUGGCGGCGUGCCUAAUACAUGCAAGUCGAGCGAACAGACGAGGAGCUUGCUCCUCUGACGUUAGCGGCGGACGGGUGAGUAACACGUGGAUAACCUACCUAUAAGACUGGGAUAACUUCGGGAAACCGGAGCUAAUACCGGAUCAUAUAUUGAACCGCAUGGUUCAAUAGUGAAAGACGGUUUUGCUGUCACUUAUAGAUGGAUCCGCGCCGCAUUAGCUAGUUGGUAAGGUAACGGCUUACCAAGGCGACGAUGCGUAGCCGACCUGAGAGGGUGAUCGGCCACACUGGAACUGAGACACGGUCCAGACUCCUACGGGAGGCAGCAGUAGGGAAUCUUCCGCAAUGGGCGAAAGCCUGACGGAGCAACGCCGCGUGAGUGAUGAAGGUCUUCGGAUCGUAAAACUUUGUUAUUAGGGAAGAACAAAUGUGUAAGUAACUAUGCACGUCUUGACGGUACCUAAUCAGAAAGCCACGGCUAACUACGUG
RNAcentral lists this ribosomal RNA (497 nucleotides) under uncultured bacterium. RNAcentral describes it as "partial 16S ribosomal RNA". It matches the Rfam family "Bacterial small subunit ribosomal RNA", at positions 28 to 507 of the family's 1533-position model. The record is from RNAcentral.